RNAcentral lists this unclassified non-coding RNA (261 nucleotides) under air metagenome. Its description in RNAcentral is "partial contains small subunit ribosomal RNA, internal transcribed spacer 1, and 5.8S ribosomal RNA". The stretch from base 1 to 46 matches the Rfam family "Eukaryotic small subunit ribosomal RNA", at positions 1786 to 1831 of the family's 1831-position model. The record is from RNAcentral.
AAGUCGUAACAAGGUUUCCGUAGGUGAACCUGCGGAAGGAUCAUUACCGAGAGAGGGGCUUCGCGCUCCCGGGGGUUUCGGCCUCCACCUCUUCACCCAUUGCGUAUCUACCUUUGUUGCUUUGGCGGGCCAUGGGGUUCGCCUCGCGCUGGCCUUCGGGCUGGUGAGCGCCCGUCAGAGGCCCUUUAAAAACUUUUUUUUAGUGAUGUCCGAGUAAACCACAAAUAGUAAAAACUUUCAACAACGGAUCUCUUGGUUCCA